CUACGAGGGGCUCCAGUGAGGAAUAUUGCACAAUGGGGGGAACCCUGAUGCAGCAACGCCGCGUGGAGGAUGACGCAUUUCGGUGUGUAAACUCCUUUUAUAUGUCAAGAAAAUGACGGUAGCAUAUGAAUAAGCACCGGCUAACUCCGUGCCAGCAGCCGCGGUAAUACGGAGGGUGCAAGCGUUACUCGGAAUCACUGGGCGUAAAGGACGCGUAGGCGGAUUGGAAAGUCAGGUGUGAAAUCCUACAGCUUAACUGUAGAACUGCACUUGAAACUUCUAAUCUAGAGUAUGGGAGGGGGAGAUGGAAUUAGUGGUGUAGGGGUAAAAUCCGUAGAUAUCACUAGGAAUACCUAAAGCGAAGGCGAUCUCCUGGAACAUUACUGACGCUAAGGCGUGAAAGCGUGGGGAGCAAACAGGAUUAGAUACCCGAGUAGUC
This 439-nucleotide ribosomal RNA is filed under the name uncultured bacterium. RNAcentral describes it as "partial 16S ribosomal RNA". It matches the Rfam family "Bacterial small subunit ribosomal RNA", at positions 339 to 795 of the family's 1533-position model. The record is from RNAcentral.